Pseudophryne corroboree (corroboree frog) is the source of this 228-nucleotide long non-coding RNA. RefSeq lists it as uncharacterized. The transcript has 3 exons. NCBI's taxonomy places the organism in Eukaryota, Metazoa, Chordata, Amphibia, Anura, Myobatrachidae. The record is from RefSeq and is a predicted model, not a curated record.
UUCUAUACACAUAUGAAUCUUCCCCAUAUUCGAAUAUCUGAUUGUCAGACUCAAGCUGAUGAUAUAUGAGGUAUGGUCCUCGCUGUAUCAAUCAAGUCCCAUUGAAAUAUUGAAACGUUGUUCAUACAUCUUUGAAUGACCUUUUAUGUGCUGACAAUAUGUUCUGAAAUGAAGAGAUUUUACCCCUGAUGAAGUCUUGGAACAAGACGAAACGCGUUGGUUUAUUUA